RNAcentral lists this unclassified non-coding RNA (285 nucleotides) under Hevea brasiliensis (rubber tree). The record is from RNAcentral. Lineage: Eukaryota; Viridiplantae; Streptophyta; Magnoliopsida; Malpighiales; Euphorbiaceae.
GGUCCUCAUCUGAUAAAUUUACACCUCUGACUUGCUGAUAAUCACAAAUUGCAGAUUCAUUUUUAUCACUUCCACUUUUUUGGUCAGCAUUUGAUAAGUUNNGCAUCUUUAAGCUGCUCAAUAUCAAAAUCCUCGGAUACAUUUUGAUCACUUGCAUUGUUUUCAUCUUCAUUUGUUAAAAAUGAGCCUGUGGGCUUGUCAUCAUUGCAAUUGCCAGAUUCAAUUUGACCCCUCCCAUUGCUUUCGUACGGGGAGCAUUCCCCUUCAGAAUGAAGAAUAGUUUCA